CUAGGAGUGGAGCAGUUGGCAGCUCGUCGGGCUCAUAUCCCGAAGGUCGUAGGUUCAAGUCCUGCCUCCGCAACCA
Molecule: transfer RNA, 76 nt
Filed under: Clostridioides difficile
Lineage: Bacteria; Bacillati; Bacillota; Clostridia; Peptostreptococcales; Peptostreptococcaceae
Description: tRNA-Met
Rfam family: tRNA (bases 4-69)
About the family: Transfer RNA (tRNA) molecules are approximately 80 nucleotides in length. Their secondary structure includes four short double-helical elements and three loops (D, anti-codon, and T loops).
Source: RNAcentral